Molecule: long non-coding RNA, 570 nt
Organism: Otolemur garnettii (small-eared galago)
Lineage: Eukaryota; Metazoa; Chordata; Mammalia; Primates; Galagidae
Exons: 5
Source: RefSeq, a predicted model, not a curated record
GGGGAGGGGGGCUUCUACUCUUGAGUUUUGUAAAUUAGUAAUUCCUUUUUUUUGUUUUUUCUCAGCCUCCCUAGGAGCUGGGACUACAGAACAGCACCAGGGAUUCUCUUUCGUUGAAUUUGCGUUGGCAGAGGGUGUUGAAACAGCUGUGGAUAGCAGGCCAAUUGUCCAUGGCCAACUCUGGCUCAAACAUCAAUGGCUCCCAGUUCUUCCUGACAUGUGACAAGACAGAUUGGCUGGAUGGCAAGCACGUGGUGUUUGGAGAGGUCACCGAGGGCCUAAAUGUCUUAUGGCAGAUGGAGGUGCUGCACAGAGGAAGACAGAAAGUUCUGGUGAGGGAUCCCGGCUGAUAGCCAGCCUGUGACCUGACCUGACUACCCUCCUGCUCGCUUCUCCGGUCACGGGAGCCCCCCGCUGCCCUCUUAGGAACCAGUUGUGAGACCUGCUAUGUGAAGGGGAUAAUUGAGGCAGAACUCAAGGGAUAGAACACAACUAAAGAUUAUGUUUCUAAAGAACAUUUAAUAAUGGUCAAAAUAUGUCAUAAAUUGAAUAAAUCAGCUAACCCAGCAA